CCUACGGGGCGCAGCAGUGAGGAAUAUUGGUCAAUGGGCGCGAGCCUGAACCAGCCAAGUAGCGUGAAGGAUGACUGCCCUACGGGUUGUACACUUCUUUUAUAAAGGUAUAAAGAGAGGCACGUGUGCCUUUUUGUGUGUACUUUAUGAAUAGGGAUCGGCAAACUCCGUGCGAGCAGCCGCGGUAAUACGGAGGAUCCGAGUGUUAUCCGGAUUUAUUGGGUUUAAAGGGAGCGUAGAUGGGUUGUAAAGUCAGUUGUGAAAGUUUGCGGCUCAACCGUAAAAUUGCAAUUGAUACUGGCAGUCUUGAGUACAGUUGAGGUAGGCGGAAUUCGUGGUGUAGCGGUGAAAUGCUUAGAUAUCACGAAGAACUCCGAUUGCGAAGGCAGCUUACUAAACUGCCACUGACAUUGAUGCUCGAAAGUGUGGGUAUCAAACAGGAUUAGAUACCCUAGUAGUC
RNAcentral lists this ribosomal RNA (460 nucleotides) under uncultured bacterium. RNAcentral's name for it is "partial 16S ribosomal RNA". It matches the Rfam family "Bacterial small subunit ribosomal RNA", at positions 338 to 795 of the family's 1533-position model. The record is from RNAcentral.